This 1017-nucleotide long non-coding RNA is filed under the name Salmo salar (Atlantic salmon). RNAcentral describes it as "lncRNA (ENSSSAG00000112376.1)". The record is from RNAcentral. Lineage: Eukaryota; Metazoa; Chordata; Actinopteri; Salmoniformes; Salmonidae.
UGAAAAACACAGGGGCUGAGGAAUAUUUUGGCACUUCCUAUUGCUUCCACUAGAUGUCACCAGCCUUUACAAAGUGUUUUGAGUCUUCUGGAGGGAGAUCUGACCGAACAAGAGCCAUGGAACGAUGAUGUCCCAUUAGACACCUGGCGCGCGAGUUCAUGUUGGGUACCCUCGUUCCAAUACGUUAUAAAAGAGUAUGCAUUCGUCCACCUUGAAUAUUAUUCAUGUUCUGGUUAAAAAAGGCCCUAAUGAUUUAUGCUAUACAACGUUUGACAUGUUUGAACGAACGUAAAUAUAUUUUUUCCCCUCGUUCAUGAAGUGAAGUCCGGCGGGCUUAGAUCAUGUGCUAACAAGACGGAGAUUUUUGGACAUAAAUGAUGAGCUUUUUUGAACAAAACUACAUUCGUUAUGGACCUGUGAUACCUGGAAGUGACAUCUGAUGAAGAGAAUCAAAGGUUUGAGGAAAGAGGGGAGACAGGAGGCGAAAAGGGGUUCCCGGUAGCGUUUUCAUCAAAGGCUUUUCCGUCAGCACUUCAGAGUGGCCGUCAGUAUGGAAAUGUGUUGUGCUGCCUGGAAAGCUGUCAGAGAACACAUUUCUUGGAUGGGACCCUGCUAAUUGAACUGGGCUUCUGUCGGCUAUGUUCUCUGGUCCCCUCAUUAUGCACUGUGAGAUGCGGUCUACAGAUAGAGACGUUUUGUUGCCAUGCUGUGAUCACAACACCACGUAUUGAUUGGAUACAAGGAGGACAUUUUCACAAAAGGCCUCCUGUUGCGAGCUCCCAGCUAAAUACUACAGAGAAUAUCUGUGACCUUUUAGCAGUAUCUUAAACCCUUCUGGAGGCAGCACCAAGGUGAGCUGAGGAGAACAGGGGAGCUCAGCUCCCCGGGGAGGGGGAGAGCAAAUUAAAGCUCACCUCAGGAACCGUGCCACCCCUGGCACUGUCCUGAUGCAACAGCUGCAGAUACAAAAACCAUCAUCUGACAUCCUGACACACGUCUGUGCCAGGUGGGUUGGGC